CCCUCGUGGAAGUCAUAAAACGUAAAAUCCCAUUUAUCCAGUGGGAAUUUCGGGUUAACCCUUCUUAAUGCACCUCUAGGAUACUCAAGAUAUACCGUGUGUGCCAAAUUUCAAAUCUUAAGGAUAAGCUUUGCGUUGUCUGUCAGUCACUAAGUAACGGAAGAGUUUUACAUAAAUUGAUUAAUUAAUGGUUGAUGUUUUAAGAUUUCUUGCUACGGGCCGAACAUAUACAGAUUUACAGUAUUCAUUUAGGAUGGGAAUCGCAACAAUCAGUAAGAUCGUGGACGAAUGGGACGAAGUGUGUAAAGUAACAUAGAAAACGCUAUACAAUGAAUGCAUACCAUCAAAUACACCUGAUAUGUGGCUAAUUAUUGCUAACGGUUUUCUACAAAAGACCAACUUUCCAAAUUGCAUUGGAGCUAUUGAUGGCAAGCACAUCCGAAUCGUAAAUCCAACCGGCGGUGGAUCAAGAUCAAUGUGGAUCAAUUCCAAAACAGUACACUACAGGAGCCUUGAACAAAACACUUUAAAAUAUAUUCCUAGACCGAAUCAUGCCUGGGACAAAUACUCCAGUUGAACAUGUAAAUGUGGGUGAUGGUUUUGGCAUAUUCAAUAAAAUUAAAAAGCCAUAUUAUGCACGAUCCGAUAUGACCCACACGAAAAAAAUAUUCAAUUAUACAUUGAGCCGUAGUAGAUGAUACAUAGAAUCGACAUUUGGUAUGAUGUCAAACAAGUUCAGAGUGUUUCAUACACCUAUUAAUGUGAGUUUUGAUGUGACAAAGAAUAUAGUUAUAGCAUGCUGCGUAUUGCAUAACUUUAUAAUAAUUCGCGAUGUUUAUCGUAUUGAAGACACACAAUUAUUGAGGGUAUGGUAGACUUGCCAACUGUACCUACAAACAGGUCUGGACACGCUCUGCGAGAACAUUUUGCUGAGUACUUUGUGAGCCCUAUUGGAAGGGUGCCCUCGCAAGAUUCGUGUAUAUUUUAACUUGAAAAGGCUGUAGUGUAGGUAUUCAGAUAAUAAAAUAAGAAAGUAAACAAACCUAGUUGUUUUGUACAAUUUUUAUUAAAGAUUUCAUAUUAGUGAUAGUUUUGCUGAGGCGAAAUAUUUUUUGUACUAAUGAUCUAUUCUUUUUCAUAAGUGUUUCUUCUCGCGAUGAUUUUAGUCUUGUUUGCACACUUUUAUUAGCGCAGGAGACUUGAACAGGAGAAGUGCUUCUGUCCAUGACCUGAAAAACAAAAAUAUUGUAAAAACUAAUACUUUUUAACCGACUUCAUAUGACGGAGUAGUGUUAGUUGAAGACGCUUCUAAAAUAACAAGUCAAAUUUUAGAUAAAUAUAUUUAAAAAAUCUAUUACUAUAAUUGAACUGUAUAUAACGACACUCCUCUCAAACUAAAAUCUGUCAAUCUCUUUUGGCUACAGAGGUGCUAAAGAAAUAUUCAUCCAUAUGAACAUUUGGAAAAAUAACGGGUAAAUACGAAACACGCAUCAUAAUACCUAACAAUUUUUAACAACCCAAUGCUAAUAAUAUUAAAAUGUCCUUACUUUUUUGGGUGUCAAAGUUUCCUUAAUGAGCAUGUUUUCCGUUCCAGCUUCCAAAAUGUCUCUUAGUAUACACCGCGGUUUUUUACAAAUAGAGACAAUUACAUUUUCUUCAGUAGCAUCACGCAGCGGCAAUGAUUCCUGAAAAUAAAUGAAAAUCUGUAUAGUAUAUUUUUAAGACUUGGUAUGAUAUAGGAAGGAUUUAAUGGUUUAUAUUUAUUAAUCUUUUUAUUACUUUUCUUAGGGUUCGUACCCAAAGGAUAAAAAUGGAAGCUAUUACUGAGAAUCAGCCGGUUUAGCAUGAAAACGGAUCAUACAUACAUAUGUAUUUAUAAUAUUAGUAGGGAAAAAGGGAUUAAAAUAAUAUCCACUCCAAAUUUCAGGCUGGUAGAUCAGGCGUGUUACUAUUAAAAACAGACAGACACACAAAAAUUUCAAUGACUGCGAUGAGUUGUAGUCUAUGGCGCUCGGGCAUGAUACACUGCUUUGAUCUUAACCCAUUGAGCCCCGAGCAGCCCAAUCGGGCCACGACGGUUUCUAUUGUGUCUGAGAUUCCGGGGGCUGAGUUAUUAAAGGUGUGGUGUCAUUAAUCACUGACAUUCAAUGAUCAAACACAGUUUUCUGAACAAGAAGUAUGAGAAGUAACAAGUUACAAAAGAAUAUGUAACUACAUACCUGUAAC
Long non-coding RNA from Colias croceus (clouded yellow), 2226 nucleotides. RefSeq lists it as uncharacterized. The transcript is spliced from 3 exons. The record is from RefSeq and is a predicted model, not a curated record. Lineage: Eukaryota; Metazoa; Arthropoda; Insecta; Lepidoptera; Pieridae.